GUCGAACGAUACCUUCGGGUAUAGUGGCGCACGGGUGAGUAACACGUGGGAAUAUACCUUUCAGUGGGGGAUAACAUCGGGAAACUGAUGCUAAUACCGCAUACGCCCUUAGGGGGAAAGAUUUAUCGCUGAAAGAUUAGCCCGCGUCCGAUUAGCUAGUUGGUGAGGUAAUGGCUCACCAAGGCGACGAUCGGUAGCUGGUCUGAGAGGAUGACCAGCCACACUGGGACUGAGACACGGCCCAGACUCCUACGGGAGGCAGCAGUGGGGAAUAUUGGACAAUGGGCGCAAGCCUGAUCCAGCCAUGCCGCGUGAGUGAUGAAGGCCUUAGGGUUGUAAAGCUCUUUCGACGGGGACGAUGAUGACGGUACCCGUAGAAGAAGCCCCGGCUAACUUCGUGCCAGCAGCCGCGGUAAUACGAAGGGGGCUAGCGUUGUUCGGAAUUACUGGGCGUAAAGCGCACGCAGGCGGUUCGAUUAG
This 480-nucleotide ribosomal RNA is filed under the name uncultured Magnetospirillum sp. RNAcentral describes it as "bacterial SSU rRNA". It matches the Rfam family "Bacterial small subunit ribosomal RNA", at positions 61 to 587 of the family's 1533-position model. The record is from RNAcentral. Lineage: Bacteria; Pseudomonadati; Pseudomonadota; Alphaproteobacteria; Rhodospirillales; Rhodospirillaceae.